UUAAGCGACUAAGCGUACACGGUGGAUGCCCUGGCAGUCAGAGGCGAUGAAGGGCGUGCUAAUCUGCGAUAAGCGCCGGUAAGGUGAUAUGAACCGUUAUAACCGGCGAUACCCGAAUGGGGAAACCCAGUGUGACUCGUCACACUAUCAUUAACUGAAUCCAUAGGUUAAUGAGGCGAACCGGGGGAACUGAAACAUCUAAGUACCCCGAGGAAAAGAAAUCAACCGAGAUUCCCCCAGUAGCGGCGAGCGAACGGGGAGGAGCCCAGAGCCUGAAUCAGCAUGUGUGUUAGUGGAAGCGUCUGGAAAGGCGCGCGAUACAGGGUGACAGCCCCGUACACAAAAGCGCAUGUGCUGUGAGCUCGAUGAGUAGGGCGGGACACGUGGUAUCCUGUCUGAAUAUGGGGGACCAUCCUCCAAGGCUAAAUACUCCUGACUGACCGAUAGUGAACCAGUACCGUGAGGGAAAGGCGAAAAGAACCCCGGCGAGGGGAGUGAAAAAGAACCUGAAACCGUGUACGUACAAGCAGUGGGAGCACCCUUUGGGGUGUGACUGCGUACCUUUUGUAUAAUGGGUCAGCGACUUAUAUUCUGUAGCAAGGUUAACCGUAUAGGGGAGCCGGAGGGAAACCGAGUCUUAACCGGGCGUUAAGUUGCAGGGUAUAGACCCGAAACCCGGUGAUCUAGCCAUGGGCAGGUUGAAGGUUGGGUAACACUAACUGGAGGACCGAACCGACUAAUGUUGAAAAAUUAGCGGAUGACCUGUGGCUGGGGGUGAAAGGCCAAUCAAACCGGGAGAUAGCUGGUUCUCCCCGAAAGCUAUUUAGGUAGCGCCUCGUGAAUUCAUCUCCGGGGGUAGAGCACUGUUUCGGCUAGGGGGCCAUCCCGGCUUACCAACCCGAUGCAAACUGCGAAUACCGGAGAAUGUUAUCACGGGAGACACACGGCGGGUGCUAACGUCCGUCGUGAAGAGGGAAACAACCCAGACCGCCAGCUAAGGUCCCAAAGUCAUGGUUAAGUGGGAAACGAUGUGGGAAGGCCCAGACAGCCAGGAUGUUGGCUUAGAAGCAGCCAUCAUUUAAAGAAAGCGUAAUAGCUCACUGGUCGAGUCGGCCUGCGCGGAAGAUGUAACGGGGCUAAACCAUGCACCGAAGCUGCGGCAGCGACGCUGAUGCGUUGUUGGGUAGGGGAGCGUUCUGUAAGCCUGCGAAGGUGGCCUGUGAGGGUUGCUGGAGGUAUCAGAAGUGCGAAUGCUGACAUAAGUAACGAUAAAGCGGGUGAAAAGCCCGCUCGCCGGAAGACCAAGGGUUCCUGUCCAACGUUAAUCGGGGCAGGGUGAGUCGACCCCUAAGGCGAGGCCGAAAGGCGUAGUCGAUGGGAAACGGGUUAAUAUUCCCGUACUUGGUGUUACUGCGAAGGGGGGACGGAGAAGGCUAUGUUGGCCGGGCGACGGUUGUCCCGGUUUAAGCGUGUAGGCUGGUUUUCCAGGCAAAUCCGGAAAAUCAAGGCUGAGGCGUGACGACGAGGCACUACGGUGCUGAAGCAACAAAUGCCCUGCUUCCAGGAAAAGCCUCUAAGCAUCAGGUAACACGAAAUCGUACCCCAAACCGACACAGGUGGUCAGGUAGAGAAUACCAAGGCGCUUGAGAGAACUCGGGUGAAGGAACUAGGCAAAAUGGUGCCGUAACUUCGGGAGAAGGCACGCUGACAUGUAGGUGAAGUGAUUUACUCAUGGAGCUGAAGUCAGUCGAAGAUACCAGCUGGCUGCAACUGUUUAUUAAAAACACAGCACUGUGCAAACACGAAAGUGGACGUAUACGGUGUGACGCCUGCCCGGUGCCGGAAGGUUAAUUGAUGGGGUCAGCGCAAGCGAAGCUCCUGAUCGAAGCCCCGGUAAACGGCGGCCGUAACUAUAACGGUCCUAAGGUAGCGAAAUUCCUUGUCGGGUAAGUUCCGACCUGCACGAAUGGCGUAAUGAUGGCCAGGCUGUCUCCACCCGAGACUCAGUGAAAUUGAACUCGCUGUGAAGAUGCAGUGUACCCGCGGCAAGACGGAAAGACCCCGUGAACCUUUACUAUAGCUUGACACUGAACAUUGAGCCUUGAUGUGUAGGAUAGGUGGGAGGCUUUGAAGUGUGGACGCCAGUCUGCAUGGAGCCGACCUUGAAAUACCACCCUUUAAUGUUUGAUGUUCUAACGUGGACCCGUGAUCCGGGUUGCGGACAGUGUCUGGUGGGUAGUUUGACUGGGGCGGUCUCCUCCUAAAGAGUAACGGAGGAGCACGAAGGUUGGCUAAUCCUGGUCGGACAUCAGGAGGUUAGUGCAAUGGCAUAAGCCAGCUUGACUGCGAGCGUGACGGCGCGAGCAGGUGCGAAAGCAGGUCAUAGUGAUCCGGUGGUUCUGAAUGGAAGGGCCAUCGCUCAACGGAUAAAAGGUACUCCGGGGAUAACAGGCUGAUACCGCCCAAGAGUUCAUAUCGACGGCGGUGUUUGGCACCUCGAUGUCGGCUCAUCACAUCCUGGGGCUGAAGUAGGUCCCAAGGGUAUGGCUGUUCGCCAUUUAAAGUGGUACGCGAGCUGGGUUUAGAACGUCGUGAGACAGUUCGGUCCCUAUCUGCCGUGGGCGCUGGAGAACUGAGGGGGGCUGCUCCUAGUACGAGAGGACCGGAGUGGACGCAUCACUGGUGUUCGGGUUGUCAUGCCAAUGGCACUGCCCGGUAGCUAAAUGCGGAAGAGAUAAGUGCUGAAAGCAUCUAAGCACGAAACUUGCCCCGAGAUGAGUUCUCCCUGAGACUUUAGGUCUCCUGAAGGAACGUUGAAGACGACGACGUUGAUAGGCCGGGUGUGUAAGCGCAGCGAUGCGUUGAGCUAACCGGUACUAAUGAACCGUGAGGCUUAACCUU
RNAcentral lists this ribosomal RNA (2901 nucleotides) under Salmonella enterica subsp. enterica serovar Montevideo. RNAcentral describes it as "bacterial LSU rRNA". It matches the Rfam family "Bacterial large subunit ribosomal RNA". Lineage: Bacteria; Pseudomonadati; Pseudomonadota; Gammaproteobacteria; Enterobacterales; Enterobacteriaceae. The record is from RNAcentral.